Long non-coding RNA from Xiphophorus maculatus (southern platyfish), 765 nucleotides. RefSeq lists it as uncharacterized. The transcript has 2 exons. The record is from RefSeq and is a predicted model, not a curated record. Lineage: Eukaryota; Metazoa; Chordata; Actinopteri; Cyprinodontiformes; Poeciliidae.
AUGUUUGGUUAUAAUUCUUGAAAAGUUCAACCUUUUAGAUUUUAAGUUAUGAGGGUUUAAUCAUUCGAGUUUCGAUUGGUUUUGUCUGAUCGGAUGUAGGGGAACGCGACGCUUCUGCUCCUCCAUUACAACACUGGAGACGAAAGCAGUGACAUCGUGUCCGUGUUUUUAUUAUUCCCCUACAGGUAGAGUUCGUACUACCUAUUACAAGCCUUAAAAGUUAUUGAUUAUGCUUGUUUAAUGAACAGGGAGCGUUGUGGUGACUGUGAUAACUAGCCUAAGAGCUACUAUACUCACCUUAGCUUCCUGGUUAGCUGCGUCCUGUGUGUGCUAAGUUUGUUUUACUGUGUUAGCAUAACCAGAAUGGGUGUAAUGUUUACUCAGUAUGUGACAGUGUAAUGUCUGAAACUGUUUUGAAAUAUUACCAUUACAACACUGGAGACGAAAGCAGUGACAUCGUGUCCGUGUUUUUAUUAUUCCCCUACAGAUAGAGUCCUUACUCAUAAGGGGCGUAACACUGCCACGGUAUCUGAAAACUGUCAACUCAGGUUGGCAAAACUGGGGAGCAGCUCAGGGAAGGCGAUGAAGUAGCAGCAGACGAUGGUUGUGAAAGUGAGGCUGCAGAUUGAGAGGACUGAACAGACAGUGGAGAGGAGGAUGCCCCGCCUGAAGUUGAAGCCAUUGAGUCUGGAAAGGAACUACCAGGCGUAAAUGAGAAGCUGUACAUUGUUGUCCUUGUCAAAUAAACAAACAUAUGAAAUAUGA